AAAGUCGUAACAAGGUUUCCGUAGGUGAACCUGCGGAAGGAUCAUUAAAAUCUGGAUAAGUGCGAUGCGCCGCGAUCGUAUGCGCAAGCAUGCGAUUGCGGUGUGGCGAUGCGAUCGCGUGCGGGAGAUGCGAUCGUGGCGAGGGGAGACGGGUUAGGAUGAGGGGUGAUGCGCGGGUGGUACGCAAGUAGUAUCCGCGCAUCUGGAUCCGCCGAGGGGGCAUGCGCAGCUAGUUGCACGUGCAGCCUUGCAGCUGCGCGCGCAACUAUAACUGCCGCCAAAACACCUGUCUGAUAAACACACACACACACACACACACACACUUAUCAAAUACAACUUUUAACAACGGAUCUCUAGGCUCUU
RNAcentral lists this unclassified non-coding RNA (363 nucleotides) under Basidiomycota sp. RNAcentral's name for it is "partial contains small subunit ribosomal RNA, internal transcribed spacer 1, and 5.8S ribosomal RNA". The stretch from base 1 to 47 matches the Rfam family "Eukaryotic small subunit ribosomal RNA", at positions 1785 to 1831 of the family's 1831-position model. The record is from RNAcentral. Lineage: Eukaryota; Fungi; Basidiomycota.